RNAcentral lists this long non-coding RNA (256 nucleotides) under Carica papaya (papaya). Its description in RNAcentral is "long non-coding RNA (CPAP_LNC013645)". The record is from RNAcentral. Lineage: Eukaryota; Viridiplantae; Streptophyta; Magnoliopsida; Brassicales; Caricaceae.
UAAUGAGGUUUAUAAUUUUGGCGCCCAUACCGGACGGGGUAUGGGGACGGCCCUGGAAUCUGAUUUCAAUUGUUAAGGGUUAACGGGUAGCGGGACCCUUAUGGAUCCCCAUGGAUACUAGUGGGCUGGUAAAUGAGGAAAAUAUGUUGUGUAACGAUUGAAUUACAAAAGGCUUGAUAAGUAUUAUGUUAUACAGUUCAUAUAUGAUUUCAUGAUGAUGAUAAUGUUAUUGCUUUCGUAUACUGUUUUAUGGAUU